This is a long non-coding RNA of Lepus europaeus (European hare), 1353 nucleotides long. RefSeq lists it as uncharacterized. Lineage: Eukaryota; Metazoa; Chordata; Mammalia; Lagomorpha; Leporidae. The record is from RefSeq and is a predicted model, not a curated record. The transcript is spliced from 6 exons.
GAGGGGCCCGCCCGCCUCCGCAGGAAGUGCAGCCGGGCGGCCUGCCCGGGGGAGGACGCCGGAGCCGCCGCCGGCCCCUGGCCCCGGCCCGGGUCCCGCGAGCAGCUUCCUGCUGAUGUGCACCCUGAGAGGCGGCAGGUGGUGGCUCCUGGCUUGGGUCCCUGCCACCCACGUGGGAGACCCAGCUGGAGUUCCUGGCUCCCGGCUUUGGCCUGGUUCCUGGCUGUUGCAGGCAUUUGAGCAUUGAACCACGCUCACCUUGCCCAGCUCCUCAGUCCACGCGCACGUCUCUUUGCUGAACCUGUAACAAAACGCAUCACAAACCUUGCGAUUCGGGCGUGUGUCUCUCCGGUGACUGGCAGGUUUCCGGUUUUCCCAGCCCCGUUCGUUCACUGGAAAGACAGUCUUCUGCUGGGCAGUGGCCAUGUACUUCUGCAGGACAGCAUUUGACCAAACACGCCCAGUUUAUCUCUGCACUGCUCCCCGCCGUUGUGGCAGCCGCUGUCUGGAUUCCUGUAGCCUUGUGGUGAGGGAACCUGUGCUUGGAGGAAGGAAUGAGAGUCAGCGACAGCCGGGUCUCACAGCCGCACCUGCCCAGGUGUUGCAGAAACUCCUGUCUCCAUAGCUACCCUAACAUCACCUCCAACAUCCUCGUGUUUCAGCCGUGCCGGGGGAUCGGCACCUAACCCGUCGGAGCAUGGGUCGGCCUGGGUGAUCCGCCCUUGGGUGCAGAGGAACGGGUCAGAGACGCGAUGGGGCAGACGUGGCUUCGUAAUCCGGGACACGUGCACGCCAAUGACGCCCGUGUUGAUCUUGUAGCCGCGGCCCUGCAGAGAGACCCCCGAGUUGGGUUGAACCCGUAUGGUCUUGCUGGUUGCACAGCUGGGUAGAGGGGGCCCCAGGGGCUGACCGCUGGUUGCCCAGUGUGGGAGGUGGCUCUGCACGUCGCCCUGACAUCUUUUCUGUGUCUGGUCCGGCUGCAGGACCCUCAUACAAAAGCAGCUGCUUUCGUGUCCCGCUCCGCCCCGGGGCUUCUCGCCUGCCCAGGACUGGAGAGCUGCGUCUCUCUCCCCGAGACACACUCGCGCCUCUGCCGUGAUGGGGGGCAGACGUGAAAACCCUGUGGCCUCGCAGGUCUCUCAUCUUGCAGCUCAACUCUGACCAAACCCCAACAGACGGAAAACACAGUGCUCGAAGGUAGUUGUACAUUUCCUGGUAGGCACGGUUUUAAACGUGAGAAGACACAAGGGACAUUAAUUUUAAUCGUGCAUUUGGUUUCUGUAUGUGCUAUGAUUCAUCAUUCAAUAUGUAAUCGAUGUAAAAUUGUGAAAGGAUUUUUUAAAAUGAUGAUGC